CCUACGGGAGGCAGCAGUGGGGAAUAUUGGACAAUGGGGGCAACCCUGAUCCAGCAAUGCCGCGUGCGUGAAGAAGGCCUUAGGGUUGUAAAGCGCUUUCGCCCGCGACGAUGAUGACGGUAGCGGGAGAAGAAGCCCCGGCUAACUCCGUGCCAGCAGCCGCGGUAAUACGGAGGGGGCGAGCGUUGUUCGGAAUUACUGGGCGUAAAGGGCGCGUAGGCGGCCUUGUCAGUCAGGCGUGAAAGCCCCGGGCUCAACCUGGGAUGUGCGCUUGAUACUGCAAGGCUUGAGACCGGAAGAGGAUGGCGGAAUACCCAGUGUAGAGGUGAAAUUCGUAGAUAUUGGGUGGAACACCAGUGGCGAAGGCGGCCAUCUGGUCCGGAUCUGACGCUGAGGCGCGAAAGCGUGGGGAGCAAACAGGAUUAGAUACCCUGGUAGUCCACGCCGUAAACGAUGUGCGCUAGACGUCGGGAGUUAGGCUCUCGGUGUCGCAGCUAACGCAUUAAGCGCACCGCCUGGGGAGUACGGCCGCAAGGUUAAAACUCAAAGGAAUUGACGG
Molecule: ribosomal RNA, 559 nt
Filed under: uncultured bacterium
Lineage: Bacteria
Description: bacterial SSU rRNA
Rfam family: Bacterial small subunit ribosomal RNA
Source: RNAcentral